GGCUGACAGAAGAGAGUGAGCACGCAUCGGCCAGACUGCAUCUAUAUACGGCUGCUCCUGGCGAAUGGAUAGAUGCCAAGGCGCAGCUGCUGUUGCGUGCUCACUUCUCUUUCUGUCAGCU
Molecule: non-coding RNA, 121 nt
Organism: Zea mays
Lineage: Eukaryota; Viridiplantae; Streptophyta; Magnoliopsida; Poales; Poaceae
Source: RefSeq, marked provisional